ACGGGGGGUGCAAGCGUUGUCCGGAAUCAUUGGGCGUAAAGCGUUCGUAGGCUGUAUGCCAAGUCUGGUGUUAAAGCCCGGGGCUCAACUCCGGAUCAGCACUGGAUACUGGCAAACUAGAAUAUGGUAGAGGUAAAGGGAAUUCCUGGUGUAGCGGUGAAAUUCGUAGAUAUCAGUAGGUACAUCGGUUUUGUGGGCGCUUUACUGGGCCAUUAUUGACGCUGAGGAUCGAAAGCCGGGGGAGCAAAUGG
This 251-nucleotide ribosomal RNA is filed under the name uncultured prokaryote. Its description in RNAcentral is "partial 16S rRNA". It matches the Rfam family "Bacterial small subunit ribosomal RNA", at positions 525 to 775 of the family's 1533-position model. The record is from RNAcentral.